CAGUAGCCGCGGGAAUACGUAGGGUGCGAGCGUUAAUCGGAAUUACUGGGCGUAAAGCGUGCGCAGGCGGUUGUGUAAGACAGGUGUGAAAUCCCCGGGCUUAACCUGGGAACUGCGCUUGUGACUGCACAGCUAGAGUACGGCAGAGGGGGGUGGAAUUCCACGUGUAGCAGUGAAAUGCGUAGAGAUGUGGAGGAACACCGAUGGCGAAGGCAGCCCCCUGGGCCAAUACUGACGCUCAUGCACGAAAGCGUGGGGAGCAAACAGGAUUAGAUACCCGUGUAGUCCCUGUCUCUUAUAC
Molecule: ribosomal RNA, 301 nt
Filed under: uncultured bacterium
Lineage: Bacteria
Description: partial 16S ribosomal RNA
Rfam family: Bacterial small subunit ribosomal RNA
Source: RNAcentral